CCUACGGGAGGCAGCAGUAGGGAAUUUUCCGCAAUGGGCGAAAGCCUGACGGAGCAAUACCGCGUGAGGGAUGACUGCCUAUGGGUUGUAAACCUCUUUUUUCAGGGAGGAAUAAAUGACGUGUACCUGAAGAAUAAGCAUCGGCUAACUCCGUGCCAGCAGCCGCGGUAAGACGGAGGAUGCAAGUGUUAUCCGGAAUCACUGGGCGUAAAGCGUCUGUAGGUGGCUCGACAAGUCAACUGUUAAAUCUUGAAGCUCAACUUCAAAAUCGCAGUCGAAACUAUCGGACUAGAGUAUAGUAGAGGUAAAGGGAAUUUCCAGUGGAGCGGUGAAAUGCGUAGAGAUUGGAAAGAACACCGAUGGCGAAGGCACUUUACUGGGCUAUUACUGACACUCAGAGACGAAAGCUAGGGUAGCAAAUGGGAUUAGAUACCCCAGUAGUCCUAGCCGUAAGCAAUGGAUACUAGGUGUUGAACAGAUCGACCUGUGCAGUACCAAAGCUAACGCGUUAAGUAUCCCGCCUGGGAAGUAUGCACGCAAGUGUGAAACUCAAAUGAAUUGACGG
Molecule: ribosomal RNA, 565 nt
Filed under: uncultured bacterium
Lineage: Bacteria
Description: bacterial SSU rRNA
Rfam family: Bacterial small subunit ribosomal RNA
Source: RNAcentral